UAGUCUGGGAAACUGCCUGAUGGAGGGGGGUAACUACUGGAAACGGUAGCUAAUACCGCAUAACGUCGCAAGACCAAAGUGGGGGACCUUCGGGCCUCAUGCCAUCAGAUGUGCCCAGAUGGGAUUAGCUAGUAGGUGGGGUAACGGCUCACCUAGGCGACGAUCUCUAGCUGGUCUGAGAGGAUGAUCAGCCACACUGGGACUGAGACACGGCCCAG
RNAcentral lists this ribosomal RNA (218 nucleotides) under uncultured bacterium. RNAcentral's name for it is "partial 16S ribosomal RNA". It matches the Rfam family "Bacterial small subunit ribosomal RNA", at positions 113 to 334 of the family's 1533-position model. The record is from RNAcentral.